This is a non-coding RNA of Corylus avellana, 3484 nucleotides long. The record is from RefSeq and is a predicted model, not a curated record. Lineage: Eukaryota; Viridiplantae; Streptophyta; Magnoliopsida; Fagales; Betulaceae.
AUUCUAUUGAGGAUCUAGAAACUUUGCCACUGCAAAAUCUCUCUUCUCUUGUGUCUUUGAAGAUAUAUAAUUGCCAGAUAUUAAAGUCUCUCUCCCUACAACAUCUCACUGCCCUUCAAGACCUACAUCUUGAGAAUUGUCCUAAUCUUGAGCUAGCCAACGAUGAGGAUGGGAUGCAAUGUCAAGGCCUUACGAGCCUCCUCUCCAUUCGCUUCAGAAUACUUCCAAAAUUGGCGUCUCUCCCCUCAGAGCUUCAACAUGCUACCACUCUACAAAAGCUUCAGAUUGGGAUUUGUGGAAGCUUGACGGCUAUACCAGAGUGGAUCCACAACUGCAAAUCACUUCAAUUGCUUGACAUUCGUGACUGCUUCAGAUUGGCAUCACUCCCCGAAGGAAUGCGUAGGCUAACGUCUCUGCAGAAUCUAACAAUUGUGAAUUGUCCCAUCCUAUUGCAAAGAUGCAAGAGAGAAACAGGUGAGGAUUGGCCCAAGAUUGCUCACAUUCCAGAGUUAAACUUAGAAUAUCCACCUCAGCAAGAAGAAAAUUCAAUCAUCCAUGCAGCUUCGACUGAUUCAGAUGCAGAAGCGGCAACAACGAAUUGAAGCCCAGACGAAACAGGGGAUUGGAAACUUGUUAAAAAAUCUAGGGCACUGCAUAUGUGAUUCUUCACAUUUUAGGAGAAAUAUUUGAGUGAAAACUGGCACUUGGUGAAACUCGAGCAAAUACUUUGCGGAAGAUCCAAUCUGUAAACGACACUCAGAGAACUCCAAGCUGCACUGAUCAAUACUACUCUGAAUCAUAUAAAAAUGAAUUUGGAAAUGACAUCAACAAGGAUCUGAAGACUACUGACCCUUAGUUUCUUGCAAUACUAAGGGGCACAAUUAAGUGCUUGACUCCUCCUGAGAAGUAUUUUGAGAAGGUUCUUAGUCUGGCAAUUAACAAACGAGGAACAGAUGAAGAAGCACUCAUUAGGGUUGUCACUACAAGGGCCAAGAUUGACAUGAAGUUUAUAAGAAAAAGGUUUUGGAUAAAACAUCUCACUUCAAUAAGUUGAUGAUAUGAUGUACCUGGGUGUUUCAUUGUCCAUUGUGUAAUCGGAGCAAAAACCGGCAAUUACUGAAAUCGGAUUAAAUAUUGUGGGGAGGGCCAAAUCUGGCAACUGAAUGGUAAUUAGAAUCAACUUUUUGCAUAGGCGCUUGAAACUUCUGUGAAGGAAACGAAGCACACCAAGAUUCAUCACAGUUGGUGGUGGAGCUGUUGGAAAGACUUGCAUCCUCAUAUCUUAUAUCAGCAAUUACUUACCCACGGAUUAUGUGCCCAGUGCCCUCUGUGUUUGACAACUUUAGUGCUAACGUCGCGGUUGGUUGAUGGUAGCAUAGUUAACCUUGGACUAUGGGACACUGCUGGACAGGAGGAUUAUAACAGGCUGAGGCCUUUAAGUUACAAAGGUGCAGAUGUUUUCUUGUUGCCUUCUCUCUCAUCAGCAAACCCUACUAGGAAAAUAUCUCUAACAAGUGAAUCCCCUCAACUGUGCCAAUAGUCAAUCCCUCCAGAUUGGCAUCACUCCCCGAAGGAAUGCGUAGGCUAACGUCUUUGCAGAGGCUAACAAUUGUGGAUUGUCCCAUCCUAUUGCAAAGACGCAAGAGACACACAGGUGAGGAUUGGCCCAAGAUCGCUCACAUUCCAGAGUUAGGCUUACGGUGUCCGACUGACCAAGAAGAAAAUUUAAUCACCCAUGCAGCUUCGACUGAUUCAGAUGCAGAAGAGGCACAAUGAAUUGAAGCACAGACGAAACAGGGGAUUGGAAGCUUAUUUAAAAAUCUAGGGCACUGCAUACGUGAUUCUUCACAUUUUAGGAGAAAUAGUUGAGUGAAAGCUAGCACUUGAUGAACUAGAGCAAAUAUUUUACGGAGGAUCCAAUCUGUAAACAACACUCGGAGAACUGCCUUGCUGCACUGGAUUUUUGCUACAAGGAGCAAAGGGCAGAUCAAUGCUACUCUGAAUCACUAUAAAAAUGAAUUCCGAAAUGACAUCAACAAGGUUUCUCAUGGGAAUUCAGGGGCUUCUUGAAUCAAAAUAGAGUGAUGUCAUUUUCUUGAGAGGGUCAAAUUUGGCAAUUGAAUGAGUACUAAGAGAGCAAAUUACAAAGAGGAAAUGCCAUGUACAAAAGCAGCAUAAAUCAAGGAAUGAGGGUUAACUUGAGGGUCAAAUAUGCUGAGUUUGAGGAUCAGUUAUGCUGUCUUGAGGAGUACAUGGCAUGUCGUGAGAUAUAGCUUUAACACUCAACACUCCAUUGUUACAAUCAAAUACAAACCCAGUCCUCUUUAGAUUAUUCUCUUUCAUUUCAGGUACUGUUAGCUUCUCAACUUUUUUGAUUGUUUAUGUCUUUCGACAAAGAAAGCUGGUUUUACAAUUAUGCAGCAAGUAGCAUACAAAUGUGAAAAUAUGUGAUUACUCAAUUGAGAUGGCUCUUAAGACUAAAACGUUUCAAGGUGGCAUUUGGUAAAUUCACUUUCCAAAUAAGAUGACGAGCCUGCAGUGUCAUAUGUUGGAACUCUGAAAUGGCCACCUCAACAAUUUCAAAGGGACUUGCAUUUUUGUCAUAGUGGAAAAUUAAGAUAUGAAGUCGACAGCUAUAACCUGGUGAUGCAAACAGGUUCUUGGAAUUUCUGUACUAAUGGAGGUAGAGAACAAAGAGACGAAGCUUUGUUAGGAGGGUGAAGGAAACGAAAUGAAGUUGAAAAAUGAGAUUCAUCAAGAUUCAUAAAAUGGGAAUCAAAUGCUGAACAUACAAGAGUAAAUCUUUCUUCAAAGAAAGCUGGUUCUACAAUUAUGCAGCAACUAGCAAACAAUUGUGAUUGUGCGCCCACUGUGUUCAACAACUGUAGUGCUAAUGUCACGGUUGAUGGUAGCACAGUUAACCUUGGACUAUGGGACACUGCUGGAAGGAUAGGACUUAGGAGGAUUAUAACCAGAUGUUUUCUUGUUGGCCUUCUCUCUCAUCAGCAAAGCCAGCUAUGGAAAUAUCUCCAACAAGACUGGAAGUUCUAGUGAAUCCCCCCAACUGUGCCAAUAGUGCUAAUAGGAACCAAACUUGAUGUACAAGAAGACAAGCGGUAUUUGAUUGGUCAUCUUGGUGCUACAUCAAUGAUCUCGCAGUUGGCUGCUGUAUGGAAAUGAGGACUCGAUCGCAGUAGUUACCUGUCCAGAUUUUAGUCAUUUCAAAUUCAUUGAGACCAGAAUUUUCAGUAUGAUUUUUUUUUUUUUUUUUUUCUAAGUUUUUGUGUAUGUUGUAUUCCUGAAAACGUCGACGAUCUAAACUUUGACUCGCUCAUAAUUCAUGUUUGCUUUGCACUUUUGCUAUAUCCAUUAUCAUGAGUUGAGUUGAAGGGGAGUCUAUACUUGAUAUACAUUUUGUGUAAUUCAAAUUUCACAAUGAGCAAAUUUUCUUGAAAGAUUUAUUUUCAUCUCUGCAAAUUUUGUA